This 626-nucleotide ribosomal RNA is filed under the name uncultured bacterium. RNAcentral's name for it is "bacterial SSU rRNA". It matches the Rfam family "Bacterial small subunit ribosomal RNA", at positions 167 to 810 of the family's 1533-position model. The record is from RNAcentral.
AACCUGAUAACACCAUUUGGUUACAUGAGCAGAUGGUCAAAGAUUUAUCGGCAAAGGAUGGGCCUGCGUCUGAUUAGCUAGUUGGUAAGGUAACGGCUUACCAAGGCGACGAUCAGUAGCCGACCUGAGAGGGUGAACGGCCACAUUGGAACUGAGACACGGUCCAAACUCCUACGGGAGGCAGCAGUGGGGAAUAUUGCACAAUGGGCGAAAGCCUGAUGCAGCAACGCCGCGUGAAGGAAGAAGGCCUUCGGGUCGUAAACUUCUGUCCUUGGGGAAGAAGAACUGACGGUACCCAAGGAGGAAGCCCCGGCUAACUACGUGCCAGCAGCCGCGGUAAUACGUAGGGGGCAAGCGUUAUCCGGAAUUAUUGGGCGUAAAGAGUACGUAGGUGGCAACCUAAGCGCAGGGUUUAAGGCAAUGGCUCAACCAUUGUUCGCCCUGCGAACUGGGAUGCUUGAGUGCAGGAGAGGAAAGCGGAAUUCCUAGUGUAGCGGUGAAAUGCGUAGAUAUUAGGAGGAACACCAGUGGCGAAGGCGGCUUUCUGGACUGUAACUGACACUGAGGUACGAAAGCGUGGGGAGCAAACAGGAUUAGAUACCCUGGUAGUCCACGCCGUAAACGAU